Molecule: long non-coding RNA, 664 nt
Filed under: Homo sapiens (human)
Lineage: Eukaryota; Metazoa; Chordata; Mammalia; Primates; Hominidae
Description: non-protein coding lnc-PIKFYVE-7:4
Source: RNAcentral
CUCCUCCAUGGAACUUCUGUUGUCAUCCAGUGGCUGAAAUCAACUGGAAGCCUACAGGGAAAGACCUGCCUCCUGGGACACAGAGCAGCAAGAAGGAACACAUUUGCUGAAAACUUUCCAAAUUUUUUCGUUACUGCUGCACCAUCACUAGCUGUUGAUAUCGAUGGAAUUCCUGACCAGUAACAUUUCCAUGAAGAUCAUUACAAUUUAUUUCUUGAAAUUCUGGGAAGGCAUGGAAACAUCACAUUGCAGCAGAUGCUGGGGAUGCAGCAAUGAACAAGACAGGCCAGAUCCCUACUCUCAGAUAAACACAAUGAUCCAGGUCAGUAGGCAUUUGGUAGGAAUCUGCAUCAAACUGUUGGGCAAUGGUAGACAGCAACAUUGACGUCUGUAAAUUUACACUUGGAUUCUUAGUUUCUGGUUGGCUGCAUCCUUCUUCUGAAGGCCACUGCUCUUUUCAGAAGACCUCCCUAGAUGGCUAAGCUCUCUGGGUUGCAACAGUUGCUCUUUUUCCUUGAGCCUUAGGUUAGGGAGUUGGGAGGAAGUAAUGGCUUCCCCCACUGCUAGCUCCAGGGUGCUACACUUUCUCUUUUCUAGUUUCCCUAAUCUGGCUUACACCAUUAUAGAUAGACCCUUUAUUAAAAUAUCCUCAAUUUAUCCAUAU